This 4468-nucleotide long non-coding RNA is filed under the name Homo sapiens (human). RNAcentral's name for it is "HSALNT0363618". Lineage: Eukaryota; Metazoa; Chordata; Mammalia; Primates; Hominidae. The record is from RNAcentral.
UUUGUAGUAUGGAAGUUGUAAAGCUGUGUUUUAAUAGGAUUACCUUAGGAAUAAGAGGACUGCUUUUUAAAGAUACGAGAUCCCGCUGCCUUGGCAAUUCUGUUAUCAGAAAGAUAGUGAUUUUGAUACAAAACAGUAAGAAACUGUAGAAUUGCAGGACCCAUAAUCCUCACAAGGAAGAUUUAGAGAGUGCUGUGUGUCAAUCACUCAUCAGCACCUCACAGAUAUUAUCUCAAUUCGUCCUGGCAACCAUCACUGCCCCUACUUAGCAGUCUCAGAGAGGAGACUCAACUCACACAGGGGCCAAGAGCUGGACCACGGAAAUGGGACAAAACAUCCUUUCUGCCAACUGCAGGGGCAGCAGAACGCCACAGUGGUUGAGCAUGGGCUCUGGUGAAGGAUGGCGGGGGUUCAAAUCCCAGUUCUCCACCUCUCUGCUUCGCUCCGAUUCCUGGGCCUCUGAGCUGGUCUCCUCCGCUGUGGAGUAACAGUGUGACUGCUCAUCUGCACAGAUUCCUUCUGUGCUGGACACGGUUCCAACUUUCCAACUACUCCCGCAGGAGCUCAUUUAGUGGAGACAAGAUCUUGCUCAGUGUCAUAGUGAGGAAGAAAUGGAAAUAUCUGUGCAGGGCCCAAGCCCGGCCUGGUGCGGGAGAGGCAUUAAUAAACGCAGCUUGAGUUCAGAAGCAGGUGGUCUGUGGCUCACUCAGCCUGGCUUCCUGCUGGGUCUUCACAGUGCUGGGCUACCUUCCUGGAGAGAACCAAAGUCCAGGCUGUGUAGAUGCCUGUGGUCCACCAGCGCAAAGCAGCGGCCCAUCAGGACGCUUCGGAGGUAGAUGCGUCUGAGUUCCAUGACAUCGGGGACAUGGCCCCACUCCUGUUCUGGAGGUCACGGGCCUGCUGAACCUCUUGUACCAGGUCAGCCACCAGGUUCAUCUGGCAGGACCUGAGAGCCCCCACCAGGUGGGCCACUGUUGCGUUCUCCUUCUCUGUGUUCUUCCAGAUUCUCAGUGACUCCCGCACACGCUCUGUCAGGUUGCGGGGGUAUCUGUCCUCGAUGCUGUCGAUCUUGGUGUCUGAGACUUUGAGCUGACGAGCCAGCCUUCUCCAAUCUUUCCCCACAUUAUCACAUAUGACGUUAAAUGCUGCACACAGGUCUGGGAAGGAAAGAACAGAACGGUUUACCAUAGGUUUGGAGACAAGCGACCCCACAAUCCUCCCUAGGGCUUUUCAGCACAGACGCCAAGUGCUGAGUGGACAGAGGUGCCUACACGAGGUCCUCUGUAGAGGCUAGAGUCGCCUGGCAGCAAAGGGGCUGCACCAAAUGCCCAAGAGUGGCCUGAUUCCACCUCAGCCAAACCCCCUGCUCUCUAAUACUGUCCUAGGAGGCGUGGCCCACUGAAGACUCAAGUGCCAAAGGAAGUUGUAGUGGAGCUACCUACUUAGAGCAGGAGACACUGAGGGAGGGGCUGGGGAGUUGUGGGAGGGAAGAAAAUAGGGUUGAUCCCACAUCCUGCCCUACAGCAGGCUGAACGAUGUCACCCCAAGGUAUGUUCACGUGAAAUUGCUGAAACCAUGAAUGUUCUUUGGAAAAAGCAUCUUUGCAAAGGUAAGCUGAGGGUCUUGAGAGGAGAUCAUCCUGGAUGACCUGGAUGCACCAAUGAUAGGUAUCCUUGCAGGAGACACACAGGGAAGGCCGUGUGAGCCUGGAGUGAAGCGGCCACAAGUCAAAGAAUGCCUGGAGCCACCACAAAGCGGACGAGACCCGGAAGGAGCCUCCCCAACAGCAUUCCGAGGGUGUGCCGGUCUGUGGCACCCUGCUUAUUCAGAUUUCUGGCCUCCAGAUUGAGGGGGUAGAUUUCUAUUGCUUCAGGCCACCAGAUUUGUGAUCAUUUGUUAUGGCAAUCACAGGAAACUAGUAGGCACUCCAAUUGUUAUUUAGAAAGCUGCCCCGAGUGACCACCAGUCUUCAGUCCCUGGCUACCAUACUCCUCAUCUGCUGACGUCACCACUGAGAUCAGGGAGCUGGUCACAAGACCAUAAAAGGCCGCUUCUGGAAUGUGAAGAGAGGAAAGGAGAGGCAGGACAGGGUGCUGCUUGGACUACUGGCAAUUCUGAGACACCGUUGGCAGGUGUACCAGCUCCCGCAGCUCUGACAGCCCUGUGGGCUGGGCACUGUGUUACCAUGACUGUACAGAUGAGGAAAUUGAGGCACAGGGAAGCUAAUGGACAUUCCUGAGAUCGUGUAGCUAGACGAUGGCAGAGCCAUGUUCUGAAACCCUAAGAGUGUGGUGCCAGAGUCGACCCUUAACCGCUAUGCUGAACUUCUGGGGAGGAAGGCAGAGUCGCCCGCUACCAACCUGUCCAUACCCACCGCUCACCUUCUGGUGUACUUUUCCCAGCACACAGUAACUACAUGACGAUAUAAAUAAAACCAAGCACACAUACAUCUCAAAUGUCAGCUAUGUUUCGUAGACCGCCUUUAAAAUGCAAUUUAUCAGUGUUUUUCCAGACAUUAAAUAUCCAUAAAACCCGAUUUUUCUACGUCCUGUUUUGUUUGUUCAGUACUGAUUUUUUUUAAAAUCUGGACUUGACUGCUCUCAGGCAGAGAGCUGUUCUGUCCAUCCUGUCCCCAACAGGCACCAGUCUUUACAGAGUGAAACCCAUGGUGACACAUUUAGGCCCUAUCUGAUUGGUGACUGAAUGGCUGAUUCCAAGCUACAGCUUGAAGCCUCUGAGAGGCGUCCCCAGAGCACUCCCAAGCCUCUCCCGACUCUGAGAACAAGGGGGGUAGGGCUGAGAAACUCUGCUGUACUCAGGGUUUCUUUUUUAUCCUGGAAGCUGCUGCAAUCCACAGGCGAGGGUGGAGAGGGAGUGACCGAGAGCAGGACAGGAAGCCACUCCACAAUGAACUUGACCAGAGAGGCAGUGUAGUGGCUAACACUACCCAUCCGGAGGCCGGACUGCUUGGCUCAAGCCUAGCUCCGUCAGUUAUCGGCUGCGCAUUUCGACAAAGCCACUUAACCUGUGAGCCACAGUCCUGUCCUCUGUAAAAUGGGAACAGUGAUAGCUAACAGUAUCUAAGCCACAGGGCUACUGCGAAAAUUGUAUUUGGCAGUUACAAGGGUAAGCGGCACACUGUAAGCCCCUGGGUAGGAGUUACUGAAUGCUAGUAUUACUCUCAGACAGCCGUGAAAAGCAUAUUCCGAGACAGAAAGGAAAUGAUGCGAGGCAGGCUCACCCAACCUCUGCCCCUCCCCCACACCUUCUCUGACUCAUCUUUUCUUCAGUGAGUUUUCUAAUUUACCCGGGCAGAAGUGGGUGGAGGAAAAAGGACUGUGCGUGUCCACGCCCUGCAACCUCGAAUAAGUUAACUUUUCUGCGUUUCUGGCUCUCCCAUCUGCAAAACCAGGGCUGUACGGAGAAAACCCACGCAAAUCAAACCCGGCAAAGGGGAGGCGCCUGGAGGCCAACCGGAGGAGCCUCGCAGCACCUACAGCCGGGCGACCAGGCCCUGGCUCCCCCGGCCCGGCCCCGCGCCCACCUUCUUCCCCAGGCGCGGCCCCGGCCGCCGCCCCCGCCUCGAAGUCGUCGACGCGCCGCAGCAGGUCGUGGCGCCGCAGGGAGGCGAGCAGCUCGCGCAGGAGCUCGGUGUGCCCGGGCUCCAGGUCGUUCUGCUCCAGCAGCAUGGAGAAGAGGUCUAGGCCGCUCUGCACGCGCUCCAGCUUGCGCUUGCCCACGCGCCCGAGGCAUAGGAACUUGAGCUCGGUCAGCUCGCUGCUCGACAGGCUGGACGACACCGAGUGCAGCAGCACCAGGAACGGGUCCAUGGCGGGGUCUGCAAGCGGCCGGGGCUGCGGCCCGGCCCUCCGUGCGCCCUCUGUCCUCGGCUCGCUGGCCCUGGCCAGGUCUCGCCGCUUGCCCAGCGGCCCAAGGAUUCCACCCCCGAACCUGCACUCCGGUGCCUGAUUCACUACAGGAAAUCGACAAGAGCGCGUUUUCGACCGUUAUCUCGCGAAAACUAAGGGACCCGCGCAUGCGUCCCUAGCGAAGCCGCAGCCGUUUCCGCCCUGGCUGGCGGCGCCGCGGACGGGCGCGGCUUCUGCGCCUGCGCCCGGCGUAUCGUCUCUUUUCCGGGUGGGAGGUGGGGCCUUGGGUGUCCUGAGAGCCUGCAGGUGGCCCAGCUCUCUGCGGUGAGGGCGGUCGCGCCUCUGCCGAGUCCACCUGUUUGCAAAGCGCGGUGCGGCCCUACUGUGUGCAGGGCCGGGGCGGGGAGGGCGCAGCCCGAACGUCACGUGCCCUCACAUCUGUUGGUGACCAAGGUUACUUAUGCAUUAACGUUUAGGGACAAACGUGGAAAAUGCAUUCUUUGGUGCCCCUGGAGACAUCUUGUGUGUGCAGAAAACACUACUCAGAAGUUUAUGUGCGUUUAAACAUGUGAUUUAAAUAAUACAUGAUUUCCAAAGUA